UGCGUCUUGUAAAGGGGCAUUUUUCUGGAUCAGACCGGUCUUCAGCAAUUCACAUUUUGGGUAUACAAUGACGGAUUUAAUCGGGAAAAAGACCCAAUUGUGAUGUUUGUGACAUAUAGGAGUGCCAAGAAAGAAGCUCGUCAAAGAUAUCCGUCAUGGAGGUUACUGAGAAGGUGGUGCCCAAAAACGCCCAGCUGCUAUCUCUUGGCCACAAGGACACUUGUCGCCUCUUGGAGGUGUAUGUGAAGCGCAGCAUCAGUUUAAAUGAUGGGACAUGUGAGGACCAGAGGUCACCAACAACGCCUCAGAAGUGGGUGACACUGUCAGAGAAAUGCAGAAGGGUCCGCCGGCAUUCUAGUGACCCCUUGAUCACCUUGGAGCCCAGCACACCUGACGAGGGCAUUGCCAGUAGCACACCACCUGAUGAGGAAGUUGUUAUACCAAAUGUGUCUCUAGUAGAAAUCCCUGGACCUGCUGACAUUCCUGAGAUUGAGACUUCUACUGAACUGGAGAAUAAGUCUAAAAAGGGCAAGAAGAAGAGCAAAAAGACCUCUUUCUGGAAAGGUUUUCUGGGGGUUUUCACGACGAAGGGGAGUGACAAGAAAGACGAGCAGGAGUCUGGCACAGAGAAAGAUGGACAGUCACAAGGAACCUUGCAGAAAAAGAAAUCCAUAAGGCAAAGGAGCUCCAUGAGGAGGUUAUCUCUGAGAAAAAUCAAGAUUGACAGCCACAGAGGGUCUGUGAAGAGACCAUUGGCUUUGGACAGGGCCAAGACCACUGACAUAACUGGAGUUGAAUCGGUUGAGAGUGUGGGGCCUACUGACUCGUACUAUGAGAAAGUUUCAGAAGAGCUGGAGAAGAUUGUGCAUGAGGUGAAAGAGACAGAGGCAGCUCUUACAGAUGAGGAUGUCAUAAAAAGGAUCAUUGUUCUGAUGAAGCAGCAAGGAGACCUCAUUGAUAACAAGCUGAAGGAGAACGCCAGCUUGAGCUCAUUCUUCCAGAAGCUGUCCUACAGCACCUUCCAGCAGUUAGCUGAUACGUACGUGGAGACAGAGACACCUACACGCCAGAGCCACCAGACACCACACACUGCUGGAUCUGGGCCCGUCAACGCCCCGGAGCUGGUCAAGCUGGCCUUCACUCUGGACUUCACAGCCAGGGUGGCCUGUCUCUCCAGGCAUUCCAAAGGCCACAUCAUGGGCCUGGGCCACCGCUACUUAGAAGACCGCUUCACCCAGACACAGGUAACAACACCAGAGGUUAAUCCAGAUCAGACGUUGCAUAACUAUGACGAUCAUAAUCAUUGAUACAAUGUCACAUGCAAAAAAAGACUGCAGGGGAAACCGAGCAUUCUUCAUGGUGUAAAAGCACACGGAGUGCUCCUCGAUUCCUUGUGACACAAAUGGAAUAGAUUACUUAAAGAUGACUGAAAAUGAAACCCAGAGGCAAGUCAUGAAGGGAACAUCACACACAACACGUAUAGUAGGCCUUGUACCUGUAAAUCUACACUAGGGCAAUCUGUGUAAUUACUAUGUUUACAGGUUAGUAAGUAAUGGAAAUGCAAUAUGGAGUUCUUACCACAUUUGGUACACUCUGUAUUUAUUCAUCUAAAUUAUAAAAUAUAAUAUAUGCCAUUUAGCAGGCACUUUUAUCCAGAGCAACUAAUCAUGUGUGCAUACAUUUUACGGGAAUUGAACCCACUAUGCUGGCAUUGCAGACGCCAUGCUCUACCAACCUACUCUACAACCGACCACUAGGGAUAGUAAGUACUAUGUACUGUAACUGCAUUCACUAACUACCCUGGUACAAGGUUAUUCCUCAUUCUUAAUCCUGGUUCUGGGACACAAAGGUGUGCAUAUUUUAGUUUUUGCCCUAGCUCUACACACCUGAUUCCACUAAUCAAAGGUUUGAUGAGUAAUCUAGGUGUGUUAGCUGGGGCUGGGACAAAGCUGCCACCAAUCAGGCCCUCGAGGACUGAGAUGCCUUGUUUUUGGAAAUUAUACUUAGGACCCCUGUACCUUUCACCUGAAAGAAUAAGAAAAUCAAGCUAAUGAACAGAACUUUAUGUAGCAAUAUUUCUAGGAAGUAUAAUACUAACUUAAAAUAUAAAUGUGGUCAUUGUGAUGCACCGAGGUCACAAACUCCAUUUUAGACGAGACUGAUUUUAUGACUAAAAUUACCCUAUUUACACAUUGUAGUCAAUUUUGACACUAGAAUAAAUGUUUGACUCAUAUUGUUGCCACAUAGGCCGUUUUCAAAGUGAUUGGUUGGUUUUUUAGGGUCAGUCGCUCUUUAACAGACAUUCCCUGACAAACAUUUGGGCACAGAGUUUCUAAACCCAGAGGCGCAACAUCGUGAAACUUCUGGGAAUGCUUGCGAUACAGACCAGGCUGGGGUUUGAGAAGUCAAUGAGAGAAGUUAAAAAUCUGAAGGCACAACCCAGAUUCGAGUCAAUGCCUUAAGUAGUUGAACAUGUUAUUACUCCAACCUCGUGAAAGUGACAAACUGACACGUUUUCAUUUGUCAAAAACAACAUAUCGAAGGAGUGCCUUUGAUUUGAUGGCCUGCACUUGCGUAUCUCGGUGUGAGAUGAGCUUUAUAGAGCCGAUGACGUGUUUCUAUGCAUGAGUUUAACCAGCCGACAAGGCGAUCGGGGAUUUCUAUUGGAGAAGCAGUUUUAGCCUGUCCUUGAUUUGGGCUCACCUAUUUAAAAUGGCAGGUAACCUAAUUAACCACAUUCAUUAGCUGGACCAAUAGAAACAUGGAAACAAUUAAAUUCAUGAAUACAAUUUUCUGUAGAGGUUGAGGAUAAGUUAACUUUAGAACUGUUGACUGUUUUUAAGUGAAUUAUUGACUAAAAACACAACUUGCUCUUAAAUGUGAAUAAAUACAUUAAGUAAAUAUGAUAACCUAGAAUGUAUGUAGGUGAGGAUUAGGCCUGCUAUUCAUCUGCCAAGGACAACAUAGCUCAGGAGACAUCCUCUCCUCCUCCAUG
Molecule: long non-coding RNA, 2995 nt
Organism: Oncorhynchus tshawytscha (Chinook salmon)
Lineage: Eukaryota; Metazoa; Chordata; Actinopteri; Salmoniformes; Salmonidae
Source: Ensembl